RNAcentral lists this small nucleolar RNA (76 nucleotides) under Calidris pugnax (ruff). RNAcentral describes it as "Small nucleolar RNA SNORD101 (ENSCPUG00000013001.1)". It matches the Rfam family "Small nucleolar RNA SNORD101". Rfam says of the family: snoRNA U101 is a member of the C/D class of snoRNA which contain the C (UGAUGA) and D (CUGA) box motifs and guide the 2'-O-methylation of rRNA and snRNAs. The record is from RNAcentral. Lineage: Eukaryota; Metazoa; Chordata; Aves; Charadriiformes; Scolopacidae.
GUUUGGGUGAUGACUUCAAGCAUUUGUCGGAUACCCCUUCACUCGUCUUAUGAGUGAGAAUUGCAGUCUGACAAAC